This 468-nucleotide ribosomal RNA is filed under the name uncultured bacterium. RNAcentral's name for it is "partial 16S ribosomal RNA". It matches the Rfam family "Bacterial small subunit ribosomal RNA", at positions 28 to 507 of the family's 1533-position model. The record is from RNAcentral.
GACGAACGCUGGCGGCGUGCUUAACACAUGCAAGUCGAACGGAAAGGCCCUGCUUUUGUGGGGUGCUCGAGUGGCGAACGGGUGAGUAACACGUGAGUAACCUGCCCUUGACUUUGGGAUAACUUCAGGAAACUGGGGCUAAUACCGGAUAGGAGCUCCUGCUGCAUGGUGGGGGUUGGAAAGUUUCGGCGGUUGGGGAUGGACUCGCGGCUUAUCAGCUUGUUGGUGGGGUAGUGGCUUACCAAGGCUUUGACGGGUAGCCGGCCUGAGAGGGUGACCGGCCACAUUGGGAUUGAGAUACGGCCCAGACUCCUACGGGAGGCAGCAGUGGGGAAUAUUGCACAAUGGGCGGAAGCCUGAUGCAGCAACGCCGCGUGCGGGAUGACGGCCCUCGGGUUGUAAACCGCUUUCGCCUGUGACGAAGCGUGAGUGACGGUAAUGGGUAAAGAAGCACCGGCUAACUACGUG